RNAcentral lists this ribosomal RNA (253 nucleotides) under uncultured bacterium. RNAcentral describes it as "partial 16S ribosomal RNA". It matches the Rfam family "Bacterial small subunit ribosomal RNA", at positions 524 to 776 of the family's 1533-position model. The record is from RNAcentral.
UACGGGGGGGGCAAGCGUUGUUCGGAAUUACUGGGCGUAAAGGGCUCGUAGGCGGCCAACUAAGUCAGACGUGAAAUCCCUCGGCUUAACCGAGGAACUGCGUCUGAUACUGGAUGGCUUGAGUGCGAAAGAGGGUCGCGGAAUUCCCGGUGUAGAGGUGAAAUUCGUAGAUAUCGAGAGGAACACCGGUGGCGAAGGCGGCCAACUGGACAGAUACUGACGCUGAGGUACGAAAGCGUGGGGAGCAAACAGG